Molecule: ribosomal RNA, 254 nt
Filed under: uncultured bacterium
Lineage: Bacteria
Description: partial 16S ribosomal RNA
Rfam family: Bacterial small subunit ribosomal RNA
Source: RNAcentral
UACGGGGGGAGCAAGCGUUGUUCGGAUUUACUGGGCGUAAAGGGCGCGUAGGCGGUCAGCACAAGUCAGUUGUGAAAUCUCCGGGCUUAACUCGGAAACUGCAUUCGAUACUGCCGUGCUUGAGGACUGGAGAGGAGACUGGAAUUUACGGUGUAGCGGUGAAGUGCGUAGAUAUCGUAAGGAAGACCAGUGGCGAAGGCGAGUCCCUGGACAACUCCUGACACUGAGGCACGAAAGCUAGGGGAGCAAACAGG